Molecule: small nuclear RNA, 107 nt
Filed under: Pseudogymnoascus sp. VKM F-4517 (FW-2822)
Lineage: Eukaryota; Fungi; Ascomycota; Leotiomycetes; Thelebolales; Thelebolaceae
Source: RNAcentral
AUAGUGAUACCACCCAUAUCUACCCGAAUAACACAGUCUCAGAGAAGAUUAGCAUGGCCCCUGCACUAAGGAUGACACGCUCAAUCAAAGAGAAGCUACCAAUUUUU